GGCUGGUAUAGCUCAAUCGGUAGAGCAUGAGACUCUUAAUCUCAAGGUCAUUGGUUCAAGCCCCAAGUUGGGCA
Podarcis lilfordi (Lilford's wall lizard) is the source of this 74-nucleotide non-coding RNA. The record is from the annotation of a GenBank genome assembly. NCBI's taxonomy places the organism in Eukaryota, Metazoa, Chordata, Lepidosauria, Squamata, Lacertidae.